Molecule: long non-coding RNA, 2268 nt
Filed under: Lathyrus oleraceus (garden pea)
Lineage: Eukaryota; Viridiplantae; Streptophyta; Magnoliopsida; Fabales; Fabaceae
Description: Pisum sativum (pea) long non-coding RNA (PSAT_LNC039141)
Source: RNAcentral
GCCAAGAGAAUAAAACCACAAACCUGCAUAAACCAUAAAAGAGUAGUUCAGAUAAAGAAGCAAGUCACCCAAUGUAAGUCAAUUCAGUUAUCCACAGUUGGAUCAAAAGAUUGGAAGCAAAUGGAUUAGAGAGUAAACUUGUGGCAAAUCCCACGUGGUUUAAUGACUUAAAACUCACCUUCACUUAAAUGCCAGCUGGACGAAUCAGAUUGAGCCACUUAGACUCAAUUCUCCAAAUUGCUCUCUUGGAUCAAGCUAUAUAAGAGGCAAUCAUUGCCAAUCAUUGGGUUCAGAUAUUUUUUCCCUCAUUCGAAAAGCAUUGUGCAAUCACUUCCCACCUUCAGUACACGCUCUUUUUUCCAUUGUUGUGAGAGCUUCAUCACUCGAAGCUCUACACAGCAGAGCUAAGCCGCCGCCACCGCCGGAAGCUUCAAAGCUUGAAGAUCGUUAUCGCUCACACGCUUCCAAUCCGUUUCAACAUUACGAGAGGAGGAAGAGAGGCGCUCAGAAGUGGAUAGGAGUUGUGCUCGUGACCUUCGUCAUCAUCGUCGCCACCUCCGUCGUCGUCUUCGACAGGUAGUGCUUAAUCCAUAUACUUACACUUUGAUUCAUUUGCCACGAUGAUGCAUUGGAGUGUAGAUGAUGUUAUUUGUCACCGUUGCGUAAUCGUUUGUGAAGUUCUGGUAGAAUCUCCAUAUGAGAACUGAGAGCAUUUCUGCUUGUGAAUAAGCGCGUUUGGAUAAGCGCUUUUUCUGUUUAUUUGUCAUUUUUGUUAUUUGCUUUCAAUGGAUACAGUGUAGUGAAUUGGUUAUGGACCAAGCAACGCUGCAAGGCACUUCACUAUCCACACCCCCUGCUGCUUGGCCCACGCUACCUCUGUCCGUUCCGGUUUGUUGUUUGUGUUUUGUCAUCUUUAGUAAUUAGGAUUAGGCUUAGGCUUAAAUAAUUUUAGGAUUAAUUAGAUGAUUUAGGAUUAGUUUAAUAUACUAAUUAGGAUAAGCUUAAAACAAUUUUAGAGUAAUUAGAUUAAUCUUAGGAUAGUUUAGAUUAAUUUUUGAAUUGAUUAGAAUUUUAAAGUGAUUUAAAUUUGUUUUAGAAUGAGUUGAUUAAUUGUGUGGAAAUUUGUUUGGUAACAUUUUUAGAAUUGCUUUGUAAUUGUUUAGAUUUAUUUUAAUAAUUGGAACUUGUGUGAUUUGUUGGAUUUUCAUUGGUUGAUAAUUGUGGAGAUUUUAUUUUGUUAACAUUUUAGAAUUUGAUAGUUGGAUUUAAUUCUCUUAUGUUGAUUAACUUUGAUUAACUUUCUAACAAUUAAUUCUAACAUUUAAUUUCUGCCUUCUAACAUCUAAUUCUUUACCAUUCCGCUUCUAACCCUUAAUUUCCGCAUUUUAAAUUCUUGUAUCUAACUCCUAACAUUUAUUUUUGUCAAAUUUACUUUACAAUUGAUUUUAUUUGCUUCAUAUUCCAUAUUGUAUCAUUCUCACUCCAUCUAAAAUGAACAUAAAAAAGGAUAAGACUUAAAAAAUAAAACAAGAUAAUUCCUUAGCAUGUAAUGAACUUUGGACAAUGGACUUAGAGACUCAUUAGGACCCUUUGCAAAAGAGACUUUGGACAAAUGUGACAUAACAUGAAAGAAGCGUGCAAGAAUCAAGAAGAAUUUGUAAUAUCAAUUGUAAUCUUUUAGCAUGCUCUCCAAUUUAGAACACAAUUGCACACACAUGGCUUUCUCUUGGGCUACCUGACAAUGAGACCUUUUAUUUCCGCACUCCCUUGUACUUUACAUGUACCCCCUCCCCUUUCCGAUGUACGCAUUUACUCGCUUUCUUGUAUUGCUUGAUUAGAUACUCCCUAGGCAUUAGGAACGCACACCAUUUCGCAAUCAAUAAUCAAACCCUUGAUCCAACGUCAAGUGGUCCCUUUUCAAGUCAAAAAACAAUAAACAAACCCUUGAUCCAACGUCAAGUGGUCCCUUUUCAAGUCAAAAAACAAUAAACAAACCCUUGAUCCAACGUCAAGCGGUCUUUUCUAAAUCAAAUUUAAAAAUACAAUAAAUGGCGAUUAGGAUCGUAUGUCACGAGCCUUAAGCGAUAAAGAAGGGAUGAGACUGGAGCUUUCCUACACUCAUUCUGAAUGCUUCGAACACAAGACGUUUGGCUUGACCGUGGGUGAGGUAUUCACCUUUAUCCAUAAUCUUUAGUGCAAUUCGAAAUCAAUAACACUUUCUCAAACUUAAAAACAAUCCAACGCAUUCAAACAUUUUGUUUGAGCCUU